Molecule: ribosomal RNA, 427 nt
Filed under: uncultured Luteolibacter sp.
Lineage: Bacteria; Pseudomonadati; Verrucomicrobiota; Verrucomicrobiia; Verrucomicrobiales; Verrucomicrobiaceae
Description: bacterial SSU rRNA
Rfam family: Bacterial small subunit ribosomal RNA
Source: RNAcentral
UCGAGAAUAAUUCACAAUGGGGGCAACCCUGAUGGUGCAACGCCGCGUGGAGGAUGACGGUCUUCGGAUUGUAAACUCCUGUCAUCUGGGAGUAAGACCUGGCUGUGAAUAGCAGACAGGGUUGAUAGUACCAGAAGAGGAAGGGACGGCUAACUUCGUGCCAGCAGCCGCGGUAAUACGAAGGUCCCAAGCGUUGUUCGGAAUCACUGGGCGUAAAGGGAGCGUAGGCGGCGUAGUAAGUCAGAUGUGAAAUCCCGGGGCUCAACCCCGGAACUGCAUCCGAUACUGCUAUGCUAGAGGAUUGGAGAGGUAGCUGGAAUUCACGGUGUAGCAGUGAAAUGCGUAGAUAUCGUGAGGAACACUCGUGGCGAAAGCGAGCUACUGGACAAUUCCUGACGCUGAGGCUCGAAGGCUAGGGUAGCGAAAG